This 282-nucleotide RNase MRP RNA is filed under the name Lasius niger. RNAcentral describes it as "RNase MRP". It matches the Rfam family "RNase MRP". Rfam says of the family: RNase MRP is an enzymatically active ribonucleoprotein with two distinct roles in eukaryotes. The record is from Rfam by way of RNAcentral. Lineage: Eukaryota; Metazoa; Arthropoda; Insecta; Hymenoptera; Formicidae.
AAGUUCUCUGAGGUAACACCGCGGAGCCACAAUCGAGUUCUCAGUGACUCUUUCAGCUCUGAGGAAGGUCCCUGGACCCGUGGCAGAAAGUGCCGUAGCUUAACCACUAUUAUCCUCCAUCAUCUCACGAAUAGAAAAGGAAGCUUCGGCUGAUUUUUCGUGAUACGGAUGCGAGAGUAUUGGUCCAAGCAAAGUAAUGUGUAAAAAUGGCGUUAGUCUUUCUCUUUCAGAGAAAAGAAUUACGCACAUUGAACCAAACAGGGCCUAUCAGAUCAGAAAACU